Poecile atricapillus (Black-capped chickadee) is the source of this 1212-nucleotide long non-coding RNA. RefSeq lists it as uncharacterized. NCBI's taxonomy places the organism in Eukaryota, Metazoa, Chordata, Aves, Passeriformes, Paridae. The record is from RefSeq and is a predicted model, not a curated record. The transcript has 3 exons.
GCCCGUUCAGGGCUGGGACGGGGAUUUGGGGAGCUGUAAAUGCCCAUUGCUGACAGCAUCCAGCAAAUCACGGCCACGCUGCCCUGCUGCCUCCCACGCCCAGCACUAAUAGAGGAUAUUGCUCCCUCUUCUCUGCAUUUGUUGAACUUGUUUGUCUUUUCAUCUGCGACUGUUACUUUCCUUUGUAUUUGAAAUUUGGAACAAGAGGAGAGGUGGGUGUAGGAUUUUUUAAUGACACGUCAGGGGUUUUCCACCACGGUGAGCAAGGAAAGAGCACGAGGAGGCCCCAAGCUGUGACAGCUUAAAUGGAAUGGGAUUUUGGGAAAAUAAUAAAUGAGAUUUGCAAUGGCUCAUUUGAAAUACACAUCACAAUAUUCUUCAUCCCUCGAGCAAAGCAUAUAAAAUAACCUUUAGAAUCUUUAAAUUCAGUCAGAAAACAAAUACAUUUCUCACCUCAUCUGUGCCAGCAAGUUCCAGCUAAAACACAAAUCCUGCAGGUGCUUGUAGCCAGUGUUGAAGCAUUCAGUGGGUCCAGGUUUACAGGGGUGUUGGAGCCAAAAAAAUUUACAAGUAAUUGAACCAUCCAUAUUUAUUUAGACUCUUAAUUGUUGUAAGUUUUGUUGAGAGUUCCCUAGUUUGGGGCUUCUUGCCCUUUUAUCAUGCUGCUCUGCUGUUUGUUUUGCCAGAACCUGCCCCGUGCCCAGCACAUGCAUUCCUGCCUCUCUCCUCAGAGUUCACCAGGACAAGUCCCAAAUGAUCAAAUGAUAUGGAAUUACUGCACCUAUGAAGUGAGUCUCACUGGAGAGCUGCUGCCAGCAGUUGUGAACAGUUUGGAAUCAGCUAAAGAAUGCUGCUUGCAGGCAGAACAGGUGCUGGGGAUGUCACUUCAUUCAAAGCCAAUUGUGCAGGAGAAGAGCUUGUGGGAAGUUCAGUCUGAGCAAUUUGCAAAUGGCCCAAGUCUAAAUUUGGGAUAUUAUUCAGGAACACCCACACACCUACAAAACUCUUGCUAGAAGCUGCCCUCCCUUCUCCCCAGGUCCCCAGGGGUGCUGGGGACAUGCCACAGAACAGCCUUCUGUGCUUCCAAGCCCAGAAGCACAUCCUGAGAUUUUUCUUUUCCUUUCUUUUGGGAGAAGGCUCCUCCUUUUGGGAGAAGGUGUUUUAUUAGAAGGAAAAACUCCUGGAAAAUAUGCUGGAGAAGUAAGUUCUUUA